This 204-nucleotide ribosomal RNA is filed under the name Pestalotiopsis microspora. RNAcentral's name for it is "partial 18S ribosomal RNA". It matches the Rfam family "Eukaryotic small subunit ribosomal RNA". Lineage: Eukaryota; Fungi; Ascomycota; Sordariomycetes; Amphisphaeriales; Sporocadaceae. The record is from RNAcentral.
UUUAAAGUUCCCCUGCCCUUUGUACACACCCGCCCCGUCGGCUACUACCGAUGGAAUGGGCUUCAGUGAGGGCUUCCCGGACUGGCCCCAGGGAGGGUCGGCAACGACCACCCCAGGGCCGGAAAGUUUAUCCAAACUCGGUCAUUUAGAGGAAGUAAAAGUCGUAACAAGGUCUYSGUUGGUGAACCAGCGGAGGGAUCAUUA